RNAcentral lists this ribosomal RNA (477 nucleotides) under uncultured anaerobic ammonium-oxidizing bacterium. RNAcentral describes it as "bacterial SSU rRNA". It matches the Rfam family "Bacterial small subunit ribosomal RNA", at positions 365 to 832 of the family's 1533-position model. The record is from RNAcentral.
UUCGCAAUGCCCGAAAGGGUGACGAAGCGACGCCGCGUGCGGGAAGAAGGCCUUCGGGUUGUAAACCGCUGUCGGGAGUUAAGAAGUGCAAGGGUGUUAAUAGCAUCUUUGCUUGACUAAGGCUCCGGAGGAAGCCACGGCUAACUCUGUGCCAGCAGCCGCGGUAAUACAGAGGCGGCAAGCGUUGUUCGGAAUUAUUGGGCGUAAAGAGCACGUAGGCGGCUAUGCAAGUCGGUUGUGAAAGCCUUCCGCUCAACGGGAGAACGGCAUCCGAUACUGCAUGGCUCGAGUGCGGGAGGGGAGAGUGGAACUUCUGGUGGAGCGGUGAAAUGCGUAGAUAUCAGAAGGAACACCGGCGGCGAAGGCGACUCUCUGGCCCGUAACUGACGCUGAGUGUGCGAAAGCUAGGGGAGCAAACGGGAUUAGAUACCCCGGUAGUCCUAACUGUAAACGAUGGGCACUAAGUAGAGGGGUUUU